This 948-nucleotide long non-coding RNA is filed under the name Lepisosteus oculatus (spotted gar). RNAcentral describes it as "lncRNA (ENSLOCG00000022416.1)". The record is from RNAcentral. Lineage: Eukaryota; Metazoa; Chordata; Actinopteri; Semionotiformes; Lepisosteidae.
AUGAAGACACUUUAUUUCAUUUGUUUCUUCUUCCAAAGCUUCAUGCAUCUGGUGGAUGCAGGAGCAUUGUCUGCAAGUGCAGAGAUUGUGGGCAUAAAUGGAGGCCUUCUUAAUGGAGCCUUGAUUGCCAAUGCAGCUAACCCAGGUAUUGUUAAUGGAGCUUUGCUGGGUGGGCAGCCUCAGAUAGCACAGGUCAUCCCAGGUGUUUCACCUAUCGUUGUCCUGCAGCCUGGCAUUGGUCUGGCUCAGGCCGGACUGCCUAUCAUUCCUGAUCUUGCACUACAGCAGGGCCUCUUGCUUCCUCUACAACAACAGCAGCCUGGCAUCCCCCAGGGCCAACUGCUGCAACUGCCCAAUGGGGGGGCCCCUUUAUUAGCAGUGCUACAGCAAGCGAAUGUAGUAGCAGGGCUGCAGGUACCGGCACCAAACCAACUACAACUCAUAAAGAUUCUUCCAGUUGCCGGAGCAAAUGGCAACCUGCAGUUACCGGCACUCCAGGCAGCUGGUGUACAGGCAGCUGGCAAUGGAGCACAGAGAGUCAAGCAUUCAGCACCUGCAAACCCAAAUCCAGCAGUGCCAGGCUCAGAGGCUGCAUCACUUUCCAGUGGUCGGCCAGCGAUGUCUCUUGCUGAAGCUCUAAAGCUUCCUUCAUUUCAAUCCAAAAUAAAUCCGUCCAAAUAAAUACCUGGAACACAUCAAUACCAACCUUCCUCUGCAGGUACAACAUGAAUCAUCGUGAUGGCACACCGGGAUCCUGCAGCAUUAAAUGAUACUAAAAAGAAUAUUCAUGGAAAUUUAAAUGUUAGUUAAGAUGUCUAAUUACUACUGUUUUAAGAUUAGAAUAAUAAAAUUCUGUUCUUAUGUUGAAGAUACAGACUAAUAGUUUCUGUGCUUGAUGUAUGUCUAUUUUAAAAUGAUUGAUGAAUAAAUAUGUUAAUAUCACAAGUU